RNAcentral lists this ribosomal RNA (497 nucleotides) under uncultured bacterium. RNAcentral's name for it is "partial 16S ribosomal RNA". It matches the Rfam family "Bacterial small subunit ribosomal RNA", at positions 28 to 507 of the family's 1533-position model. The record is from RNAcentral.
GACGAACGCUGGCGGCGUGCCUAAUACAUGCAAGUUGAGCGAUGAAGAUUGGUGCUUGCACCAAUUUGAAGAGCAGCGAACGGGUGAGUAACGCGUGGGGAAUCUGCCUUUGAGCGGGGGACAACAUUUGGAAACGAAUGCUAAUACCGCAUAACAACUUUAAACAUAAGUUUUAAGUUUGAAAGAUGCAAUUGCAUCACUCAAAGAUGAUCCCGCGUUGUAUUAGCUAGUUUGUGAGGUAAAGGCUCACCAAGGCGAUGAUACAUAGCCGACCUGGGAGGGUGAUCGGCCACAUUGGGACUGAGACCCGGCCCAAACUCCUACGGGAGGGAGCAGUAGGGAAUCUUCGGCAAUGGACGAAAGUCUGACCGAGCAACGCCGCGUGAGUGAAGAAGGUUUUCGGAUCGUAAAACUCUGUUGGUAGAGAAGAACGUUGGUGAGAGUGGAAAGCUCAUCAAGUGACGGUAACUACCCAGAAAGGGACGGCUAACUACGUG